CCUACGGGUGGCAGCAGUGAGGAAUAUUGGUCAAUGGGCGAGAGCCUGAACCAGCCAAGUCGCGUGAGGGAAGACGGUCCUAUGGAUUGUAAACCUCUUUUGUCGGGGAGCAAACAGGCCUCGUGAGGCCACAAGGGAGAGUACCCGACGAAAAAGCAUCGGCUAACUCCGUGCCAGCAGCCGCGGUAAUACGGAGGAUGCGAGCGUUAUUCGGAUUUAUUGGGUUUAAAGGGUGCGAAGGCGGACUGGAAAGUCAGCGGUAAAAUCGAGGGGCUCAACCCAUUUCCGCCGUUGAAACUGUCGGUCUUGAGUGGGCGAGAGGUAUGCGGAAUGCGUGGUGUAGCGGUGAAAUGCAUAGAUAUCAGGCGGAACACCGAUUGCGAAGGCAGCAUACCGGCGCCCGACUGACGCUGAGGCACGAAAGCGUGGGUAUCGAACAGGAUUAGAUACCCCAGUAGUC
Molecule: ribosomal RNA, 460 nt
Filed under: uncultured bacterium
Lineage: Bacteria
Description: partial 16S ribosomal RNA
Rfam family: Bacterial small subunit ribosomal RNA
Source: RNAcentral